RNAcentral lists this ribosomal RNA (92 nucleotides) under Clostridium sp. OM04-12AA. RNAcentral's name for it is "partial 16S ribosomal RNA". It matches the Rfam family "Bacterial small subunit ribosomal RNA", at positions 1450 to 1533 of the family's 1533-position model. Lineage: Bacteria; Bacillati; Bacillota; Clostridia; Eubacteriales; Clostridiaceae. The record is from RNAcentral.
GAGCUGCCGAAGGCGGGGCAGGUAACUGGGGUGAAGUCGUAACAAGGUAGCCGUAUCGGAAGGUGCGGCUGGAUCACCUCCUUUCUAAGGAA